This 809-nucleotide ribosomal RNA is filed under the name uncultured bacterium. RNAcentral describes it as "bacterial SSU rRNA". It matches the Rfam family "Bacterial small subunit ribosomal RNA", at positions 1 to 810 of the family's 1533-position model. The record is from RNAcentral.
UUAGAGUUUGAUCCUGGCUCAGAUUGAACGCUGGCGGCAGGCCUAACACAUGCAAGUCGAGCGGAUGAAGAGAGCUUGCUCUCUGAUUCAGCGGCGGACGGGUGAGUAAUGCCUAGGAAUCUGCCUGGUAGUGGGGGACAACGUUUCGAAAGGAACGCUAAUACCGCAUACGUCCUACGGGAGAAAGCAGGGGACCUUCGGGCCUUGCGCUAUCAGAUGAGCCUAGGUCGGAUUAGCUAGUAGGUGAGGUAAUGGCUCACCUAGGCGACGAUCCGUAACUGGUCUGAGAGGAUGAUCAGUCACACUGGAACUGAGACACGGUCCAGACUCCUACGGGAGGCAGCAGUGGGGAAUAUUGGACAAUGGGCGAAAGCCUGAUCCAGCCAUGCCGCGUGUGUGAAGAAGGUCUUCGGAUUGUAAAGCACUUUAAGUUGGGAGGAAGGGCAGUAAGUUAAUACCUUGCUGUUUUGACGUUACCAACAGAAUAAGCACCGGCUAACUUCGUGCCAGCAGCCGCGGUAAUACGAAGGGUGCAAGCGUUAAUCGGAAUUACUGGGCGUAAAGCGCGCGUAGGUGGUUCAGCAAGUUGGAGGUGAAAUCCCCGGGCUCAACCUGGGAACUGCCUCCAAAACUAUUGAGCUAGAGUACGGUAGAGGGUAGUGGAAUUUCCUGUGUAGCGGUGAAAUGCGUAGAUAUAGGAAGGAACACCAGUGGCGAAGGCGACUACCUGGACUGAUACUGACACUGAGGUGCGAAAGCGUGGGGAGCAAACAGGAUAAGAUACCCUGGUAGUCCACGCCGUAAACGAU